ACUCACACUGGCCGCUCGUUUUACAGCCUAACACAUGCAAGUCGAACGGCAGCACAGAGGAGCUUGCUCCUUGGGUGGCGAGUGGCGGACGGGUGAGGAAUACAUCGGAAUCUACUCUGUCGUGGGGGAUAACGUAGGGAAACUUACGCUAAUACCGCAUACGAACCUACGGGAUGAAAGCAGGGGAUCUUCGGACCUUGCGCGAUUGAAUGAGCCGAUGUCGGAUUAGCUAGAUUGGACGGGGUAAAGGCCCACCAANGCGACGAUCCGUAGCUGGUCUGAGAGGAUGAUCAGCCACACAUGGAACUGAGACACGGUCCAGACUCCUACGGGAGGCAGCAGUGGGGAAUAUUGGACAAUGGGCGCAAGCCUGAUCCAGCCAUACCGCGUGGGUGAAGAAGGCCUUCGGGUUGUAAAGCCCUUUUGUUGGGAAAGAAAUCCAGCUGGCUAAUACCCGGUUGGGAUGACGGUACCCAAAGAAUAAGCACCGGCUAACUUACGAUGCCAGCAGCCGCGGUAAUACGACAGGGUGCAGACGUUACUCGGGCAAAUUCACUAGGGCGUAAAGCGUA
RNAcentral lists this ribosomal RNA (572 nucleotides) under uncultured bacterium. Its description in RNAcentral is "bacterial SSU rRNA". It matches the Rfam family "Bacterial small subunit ribosomal RNA", at positions 22 to 569 of the family's 1533-position model. The record is from RNAcentral.